GGAAGCAUGUGGUUUAAUUCGAUGAUACGCGAGGAACCUACCUGGGCUCGAACGUAAGAUGACUGUAGUGAAAGCUUACAUCUCUUCGGAGCAUUUUACGAGGUGCUGCAUGGUUGUCGUCAGCUCGUGCCGUGAGGUGUCGGGUUAAGUCCCAUAACGAGCGCAACCCCUACCUUUAGUUGCCAUCAGGUUAAGCUGGGGACUCUAAAGGAACUGCCUACGCAAGUAGUGAGGAAGGCGGGGAUGACGUCAAAUCAGCACGGCCCUUACGUCCAGGGCUACACACGUGCUACAAUGGCCGAUACAGAGGGCAGCUACCUGGUGACAGGAUGCAAAUCUCCAAAGUCGGUCUCAGUUCGGAUCGGAGUCUGCAACCCGACUCCGUGAAGUUGGAUUCGCUAGUAAUCGCGCAUCAGCCAUGGCGCGGUGAAUACGUUCCCGGGCCUU
This 447-nucleotide ribosomal RNA is filed under the name uncultured Sphingobacteriales bacterium. RNAcentral's name for it is "bacterial SSU rRNA". It matches the Rfam family "Bacterial small subunit ribosomal RNA", at positions 933 to 1382 of the family's 1533-position model. The record is from RNAcentral. Lineage: Bacteria; Pseudomonadati; Bacteroidota; Sphingobacteriia; Sphingobacteriales.